CAACGUCUCCUAAUUCUUCCUGCAUCUGAACUGCAGUGGUUAUCUGAACAGGAAGUAGUGCUGCAGCCUUAGCAGCUAGGUCAGCCGCUCUGUUUCCUCUAGACACUUCAUCAAUGCCUGUGGUCCCAGAUAGCACUGAACGUCUUGCCGACGUUGGCAAUUGGAGGGCACCAGCGGCAAAGUAUCGGGAGGGGAUUUUCCCCUGCACAACAAAAAACUUUGGUGGGUAAACCAUCGGCGGGCCGCGGGAUGAAUAGCCACUUUCAUGCACAACUCCGGAGAUCGGUGGAGGAACCGUGAUGAACCAUUUUGCCGAUCCCGCUUCUAUUUUUUUAAAUAAAUAAUAUCUGCGCAACCGUUGGUCCACAUCAAGACCUUCACGCGCGUGCACACGUUUUUAUGACGGUGCGCUAUGCGCGUGAGUGAUCUCAGCAUCGUCUACACUACAGCCUACAGCUAAGUCUACAGCAACGGACUCUGAGCUACAUACACCCCAAAGGCUCUUUUCAGAGCCCAGGCCCAUUUUGCACAGCGUCUUUGCCUUUGUACAUGUACUUGCCGCGUCAGCACACACGACGGCUGGAACUACAGUAUGGUCUUCCCAGUGGACCAGCACCACAUCCAUCUGGAUUGAGACGAGUAGGGGACAUCUCUAGGGUCUUCACAUAUUGAUACACACACCAUUGCAAGGCAAGGCAAGGCAAG
This is a non-coding RNA of Pimephales promelas (fathead minnow), 705 nucleotides long. NCBI's taxonomy places the organism in Eukaryota, Metazoa, Chordata, Actinopteri, Cypriniformes, Leuciscidae. The record is from RefSeq and is a predicted model, not a curated record.